AUACGUAGGGGGCGAGCGUUAUCCGGAAUUAUUGGGCGUAAAGAGUACGUAGGUGGUUUUGUAAGCGUGAGGUGAAAGCCCGGGGCUUAACUCCGGCGAGCCUCACGAGCUGCAAGACUUGAGUGCAGGAGGGGAAAGUGGAAUUCCUAGUGUAGCGGUGAAAUGCGUAGAUAUUAGGAGGAACACCGGUGGCGAAGGCGACUUUCUGGACUGUAACUGACACUGAGGUACGAAAGCGUGGGGAGCAAACAGGAUUAGAUACCCUGGUAGUCCACACUGUAAACGAUGAAUGCUAGGUGUAGGGGGUAUCGACCCCUUCUGUGCCGCAGUUAACACAAUAAGCAUUCCGCCUGGGGAGUACGGCCGCAAGGUUGAAACUCAAAUGAAUUGACGGGG
RNAcentral lists this ribosomal RNA (396 nucleotides) under uncultured bacterium. RNAcentral's name for it is "partial 16S ribosomal RNA". It matches the Rfam family "Bacterial small subunit ribosomal RNA", at positions 523 to 918 of the family's 1533-position model. The record is from RNAcentral.